UUGCCCCCUUUCGAUUGUGAUCGAGUUUAUUGUUUUGUUCUUUCUUAUUGUAAAUGUCAUUUUGUUUGUAAAGUUUAGUUUAUAAACUGUACUUCUAUUUACUCUUUGAAUUUAUUUUUUUGUUUAUGUUGUCGUUUCUUGAUUUUAGUUUCUGUGGAUUUAUAUGGUUCUGAUUACAGAAAGUAUUGUCAUUGGACAAAAACUCUUACAAGCAAGCUGCAAAUCUGUUCAAAGAAACCAAGAUCUGUUAAUAUCAAAUACGUCAGCCAUUGGCAAUGGAAUAAAAGUUGGGUCGUGGGAGGAAGAAGCUGGUUCGUUGCCAUUUUUAGUUGUAUAAGUUUUCCAUAGGCUUCGAUCAUCUCCCCAAUAAACCCAGAGCCUCAUUUUCUCCUGCUAAGCAAAAGAAAAUCAAGGAGGCCUGCAACUUCGUAUGCAGUCCGCCACUGCAAAUCAGUCUGGAAACUGGAAAAUUCAAAGGUCAUAUUUUUCACUUUCUGGAUGUGCAAAGUUUGGAUAGUACACAUCACCGGGCCAAACCUUUCUCAGGAAUGUCAUUCUAAAAGGAUAUUGGCAGGAGGGGGUGGAAUGUCAUUCUAAGAUAUAUAUAUCAGCAGCAAGGGUGUGGAAGCUCACACGCUCAGAUUUCAACGCGUUUCGAAGGUGGAAAUGACAAGAAUGUGCAGUGUGGACUUCCAAUUUCUAGUGCUAUGAUGCAUGAGGACUGCCAAAGUGAGAAUACUGGUUAGUUGUCAUCAAGCAGCCCUUGUAGAUGUGUAUUUUGUUUAUAUAUUGCUAGUUUAACCAUUAGUACGUUUGACUUGGGGAUACAAGCUUGGAUAUGUUAUAUUUUGUUGUAUAUAGAGAAUCCCGGGUAUGUCCAGCAUAGGAUAACAUGUAUUUUUUGGUUUAACAUUUGGAUGGGUUGUAUUGUUAGGUUGCAUGAAUCGGUCUUAGCCGAGAACAUGGGUUAUGUAAUAUAUUAACUUCACUAUUUUAGUGCUAAUGUUGAUUUAUGUUUAGUUUGUAA
Long non-coding RNA from Pyrus x bretschneideri (Chinese white pear), 1027 nucleotides. RefSeq lists it as uncharacterized. The transcript is spliced from 5 exons. Lineage: Eukaryota; Viridiplantae; Streptophyta; Magnoliopsida; Rosales; Rosaceae. The record is from RefSeq and is a predicted model, not a curated record.